This 497-nucleotide ribosomal RNA is filed under the name uncultured bacterium. RNAcentral describes it as "partial 16S ribosomal RNA". It matches the Rfam family "Bacterial small subunit ribosomal RNA", at positions 28 to 507 of the family's 1533-position model. The record is from RNAcentral.
GAUGAACGCUGGCGGCGUGCCUAAUACAUGCAAGUCGAGCGAACAGACGAGGAGCUUGCUCCUCUGACGUUAGCGGCGGACGGGUGAGUAACACGUGGAUAACCUACCUAUAAGACUGGGAUAACUUCGGGAAACCGGAGCUAAUACCGGAUAAUAUAUUGAACCGCAUGGUUCAAUAGUGAAAGACGGUUUUGCUGUCACUUAUAGAUGGAUCCGCGCCGCAUUAGCUAGUUGGUAAGGUAACGGCUUACCAAGGCGACGAUGCGUAGCCGACCUGAGAGGGUGAUCGGCCACACUGGGACUGAGACACGGUCCAGACUCCUACGGGAGGCAGCAGUAGGGAAUCUUCCGCAAAGGGCGAAAGCCUGACGGAGCAACGCCGCGUGAGUGAUGAAGGUCUUCGGAUCGUAAAACUCUGUUAUUAGGGAAGAACAAAUGUGUAAGUAACUAUGCACGUCUUGACGGUACCUAAUCAGAAAGCCACGGCUAACUACGUG